RNAcentral lists this ribosomal RNA (253 nucleotides) under uncultured bacterium. Its description in RNAcentral is "partial 16S ribosomal RNA". It matches the Rfam family "Bacterial small subunit ribosomal RNA", at positions 524 to 776 of the family's 1533-position model. The record is from RNAcentral.
UACGGAGGGGGCUAGCGUUGUUCGGAAUUACUGGGCGUAAAGCGCACGUAGGCGGACUGUUAAGUCGGGGGUGAAAUCCUGGGGCUCAACCUCAGAAUUGCGUCCGAUACUGGCAGUCUCGAGUGCGGGAGAGGUGAGUGGAAUUCCCAGUGUAGAGGUGAAAUUCGUAGAUAUUGGGAGGAACACCAGUGGCGAAGGCGGCACACUGGACCGGAACUGACGCUGAGGUGCGAAAGCGAGGGGAGCAAACAGG